CCCCAGUCAAACACCCUUUGACCCCCCAGUCAAACGCGUGAUGCUUCGUAACAUGCCUAAUAUGUGCAGUUCUAAAUUUUUCUUAAAAUAAACCCUGAGCUAACCAACUUUGGAUGGCAACGGACAAACACGUGUUAGGCGUUAGGUCUACAUUUGGAUCACACUUUGUUUCUACGAAUUCUUUAAUUUGUGCUCAGAUGUAGCCUGCCCCGUUGAUUUCCAGCGUGGGCGCGAACCUACAGCAACAUGUGGUUAUUCAUAAAUCUGGUCCUUCACCAUCACGUGUGUAUUGUAUUUUUGCCCAACUAACCAAUAACAAUGUUUUAGGAAAGUUACCUAGCUAUCCGUGACUCGAACAAUAUAUAGGGAAAUUGCUAUUGGUGGAUUUGGCAAAAAUACAAUACACACGUGACGGUGAAGGACCAGAUUUAUGAAUAAACGUUGACUAACAGAGAUGAGUUACCGUAAAG
Molecule: non-coding RNA, 470 nt
Organism: Paramuricea clavata
Lineage: Eukaryota; Metazoa; Cnidaria; Anthozoa; Malacalcyonacea; Plexauridae
Source: the annotation of a GenBank genome assembly